This 468-nucleotide ribosomal RNA is filed under the name uncultured bacterium. RNAcentral's name for it is "partial 16S ribosomal RNA". It matches the Rfam family "Bacterial small subunit ribosomal RNA", at positions 28 to 507 of the family's 1533-position model. The record is from RNAcentral.
GACGAACGCUGGCGGCGUGCUUAACACAUGCAAGUCGAACGGAAAGGCCCUGCUUUUGUGGGGUGCUCGAGUGGCGAACGGGUGAGUAACACGUGAGUAACCUGCCCUUGACUUUGGGAUAACUUCAGGAAACUGGGGCUAAUACCGGAUAGGAGCUCCUGCUGCAUGGUGGGGGUUGGAAAGUUUCGGCGGUUGGGGAUGGACUCGCGGCUUAUCAGCUUGUUGGUGGGGUAGUGGUUUACCAAGGCUUUGACGGGUAGCCGGCCUGGGAGGGUGACCGGCCACAUUGGGACUGAGAUACGGCCCAGACUCCUACGGGAGGCAGCAGUGGGGAAUAUUGCACAAUGGGCGGAAGCCUGAUGCAGCAACGCCGCGUGCGGGAUGACGGCCUUCGGGUUGUAAACCGCUUUCGCCUGUGACGAAGCGUGAGUGACGGUAAUGGGUAAAGAAGCACCGGCUAACUACGUA